UCACCAAUCGUCAACAUAAAUGUCUUAAAACAUACAUGUAUUCCGUUCUCAGGAGGGCUGGGGUUAUCCAAGGUUCUGAGUAACAUGCUACCAGAGGAAAAAGCGUCUGCUGCUCAGGUCUGGAGACACAAACACUGACACACCCACACCCACCCACACACACCCACUCCCACACACACCCACAUCCACACACACACACACACACCCACACACACCCACAAACACACAUACACACACAGACACACACAAA
Molecule: long non-coding RNA, 250 nt
Organism: Cebus imitator (Panamanian white-faced capuchin)
Lineage: Eukaryota; Metazoa; Chordata; Mammalia; Primates; Cebidae
Exons: 2
Source: RefSeq, a predicted model, not a curated record